Molecule: long non-coding RNA, 208 nt
Filed under: Elaeis guineensis (African oil palm)
Lineage: Eukaryota; Viridiplantae; Streptophyta; Magnoliopsida; Arecales; Arecaceae
Description: long non-coding RNA (EGUI_LNC024931)
Source: RNAcentral
CCCCUAAUUGUUUUAUAACUCCAAGUCCUUUGUAAAUACUCCCAACCUGUAAACAUUCUCACAUCCAUAAUGACUCUGAUUUCCGAUCAAUAAAUCGUGAGGAAAUGUCUCACUUCCUCCAUUAUUUAUUUACAAAAAAAAAGAUAAUUCAAAAUUCAGCACUUAUUGCUGCAUCAUUUUAAAAUGUUUUACUAAGUCAAGAAAGAGC